This 1197-nucleotide long non-coding RNA is filed under the name Toxoplasma gondii VEG. Lineage: Eukaryota; Apicomplexa; Conoidasida; Eucoccidiorida; Sarcocystidae. The record is from RNAcentral.
CUUUUUUGCGUGCCAAGGAGAAGAAGCGAAGUUGGGGGUUUCCUGACUGUUCGUUUGUUCGGCUUUAGGAAAAGGGGCAACGCCUCCUCUCGUUUUUUCCCUUCCGAAAGCCUCGGCACAUCGCUAGAAGACACCGCAUUCCAACGAAACGCGUGCGUUCUCUACCGUUGCUGCUCGACCGAGAAACUGGUGUUUCUGCAGAGACAACUUGGUGCGUUCCAUGCAAGUCUGCGUUGCGUCUUCACUUGCACAGAGACGAAGGAGUUACUCGAAAGCGCGUGGUGUCUGCAACAAAGGCACAUGCUGGGGGUUUGUUCGUGUUUUCCUUCGUAAAAGCAGGAAGCGGUUUCCGGAACCCACACGGCACAAACGACUGGACGCGGCAGGGAUCUCUCGUCUGUGUCUCUCUCGCACCCAUUGACUUCCAACUUCUUCGACUGAGCGUCCGCGAUUCGUCUGAAGGCUCGCUUUGCAGACAUGCUUCGCUCCCGCGUUUCUAUCCGGGGGUUCGCGCUUGUGCUCACAGCCGCGUUUCAUAAAAAGCGAUACGGCAGUGCUGCGGGUGAGGAAAACAGACGCGCUUCUCUCUGCUUUUAGAAUGUGUCAAGGUCGCUCAGUGCGAACACUCUGAACUCACAACUCUUUCGCCUCUCUUGUUGACGACGCCGAAUGCUACGACUUCUCUUCCGCCACAUCCGUUUCAUCUGAGGAGCGCGCCGCGACACGAUUUCUGCCGUGUGUGUUGCCUCUGAGUUUUUCGACUCGCCCCUUUCUUCUUCGAAACACAGUUUUCAUUUUUAUGACAAAAAUGCAAGGUGUGUCGAGCAACAAAAGGUAGCAGCGCUUGAAAAGAGAGGGUACUCGCGGUACAAACACCUGGAUCGUCUCACUCUGGCAGUUGUCUGUGCACCUGUUUGAAGCCUCCUGAGUCUUCCGGACCUGCGAGGACCCCUCCGCGCAGUAGUUGCGCAGAGAGGUCGCCAUACGUUCCAAGCAAAGCCGUCAUUACGAACACUGCAGAAAACGCGCUUGCAAUUCGCACACUUCGUUCUGGACCAGCGAAGCAACAUCACGAGAGUUCCACUCGUCCACGUGGGUGCGCACCUGCAAACUUGUCUUCGCCUUUUACACGGUAGUGUUUUAGUGAAGACGGAAGUCUGCGACAGUGCGAAAUGCGCGCCACAGCGAGGACAGCCG